UGAACCCGGCAGGUCCACAGUAG
This 23-nucleotide non-coding RNA is filed under the name Cricetulus griseus (Chinese hamster). Lineage: Eukaryota; Metazoa; Chordata; Mammalia; Rodentia; Cricetidae. The record is from RNAcentral.